CGGGUUGUAAAGCACUUUCAGUCGUGAGGAAGGCGGGUACGUUAAUAGCGUAUUCGUUUGACGUUAGCGACAGAAGAAAGCACCGGCUAACUCCGUGCCAGCAGCCGCGGUAAUACGGAGGGUGCGAGCGUUAAUCGGAAUUACUGGGCGUAAAGCGCAUGCAGGUGGUUUGUUAAGUCAGAUGUGAAAGACCCGGGGCGUCAACCUACGGAAUAGCAUUUGUAAACUAGGCAGACUAGAGUACUGUAGAGGGGGGUAGGAAUUUCAGGUGUAGCGGUGAAAUGCGUAGAGAUCUGAAGGAAUACCGGUGGCGAAGGCGGCCCCCUCGGACAGAUACUGACACUCAGAUGCGAAAGCGUGGGGAGCAAACAGGAUUAGAUACCCUGGUAG
This 390-nucleotide ribosomal RNA is filed under the name uncultured bacterium. RNAcentral's name for it is "bacterial SSU rRNA". It matches the Rfam family "Bacterial small subunit ribosomal RNA", at positions 419 to 793 of the family's 1533-position model. The record is from RNAcentral.